CUAUUGAAACUUCCUUUCCUCGUCUGGGAGAUGAUUCCUUCUCUAUCUCUCGGAUUUUUUAUGAAGACUAGUGCAAGAAGGAUGUCCAUGAAUGAAGACGUGCCUUGCUUUACUAACAAAUAAAGAAAGAAAAACUCUACCAAAGGUUAUAUGAUUAAGACCAAUGUGAAAAUAUCGAGAAAAACAUGGUCUUGUAGGGCUAGGUUUAAACCAGAAUUUAUAGAAAGAUUAAAAGAUUCCCUAGGUGUAGCUAAAAGUUCAUUAUCUUCUUGAUUAAAAGAUAGGACCUUAGCUAUAGAAUUGGGUUAGUUUUGACCUAUUGCAAUCAACUCCAGACACAGAUCAUAAUUAGGGGCAAGGAUAGGACUUGUUGACUCCCAUGGUCUAUGGCUGGUCUCCGAAGGUGCAAAAAAUUCAAUAAUAGGUGUGGAAUUUGAGUUAUCCAUAAAGAUGGAAAAAAUAAAAAGAUAAAAGAAUAAAAGUAUAAAAGUACAAUAAAAGAUAAUAGCAAGACUUAAAGUUAUCUCAGCAAACUGUCUUUCUCCCCGGCAACGGCGCCAGAAAUGCUUGUUGAUAUUUGGUAACGCCAUUAGGAAAUGAUCCGCAAGCGCACGGAUAUCGGUGAGCACUUCACCCGGGAGGUUAUCUAGAGUAUCGUAUUUAUAUUUUUACCACU
This 676-nucleotide long non-coding RNA is filed under the name Sorghum bicolor (sorghum). RNAcentral's name for it is "long non-coding RNA (SBIC_LNC012064)". Lineage: Eukaryota; Viridiplantae; Streptophyta; Magnoliopsida; Poales; Poaceae. The record is from RNAcentral.